GCAAUUAUGAGAAGAGGAAAAAAAAACUGGCCAUAUUGUGAAAACCAAUUUUCCAGGAUUGUGUCCAGCCUCGACAUCCCCCUAGCUCCCCACCCCUUGACAGGCCCCGGUGUAUGAUAUUCCCCUCCCUGUGUCCGUGUGUUAUCAUUGUUCAACUCCCACUUAUAAGUGAGAACGUGCAGUGUUUGGUUUUCUGGUUUCUUCUGAGGCCACCCUUCUUGGCUUGUAGAUGAUUGCCUUUCCCCUGUGUUCUCAAUAGUCUUUCCUCUAGGUAGGCAUUCCUUGCAUCUUUUGUGUCUCCAAAACCUGGGUCCUUAAUCCCUACAUUUUACAGCCUCAAAUCCCAUUCUCUACGCUUCUUACUCUAACAGUGAUCUUAUUUCCAAGUUGUGAGGACAUUUUAUGGUUGCUCUUUAUGGGUUCUCUACCCCACUCUUCACCUUGCUGACUCCCCUUUGUUUUGGGAUCAAAACACCACCAGUUCUUUCCAACAUCUUCUACAUGGCAUGUCCUCGUGUGUCCAUAUCUAAUUAUGUAACAGGAAAUGCUAUCCCAUGCUCUGGGUAUGAAGUCCAGUGGGACCAUUCCUGCUGGAAUUUGUAAACCACACUUUCAUAAAUAUAGUCAAAGAUUAUGCUGGACUUAGUGUAAUUAAUUAGACUAUCAAUAUCACCUAAGCUAUGAUUUAGACCUUGAAAGCCCCCUGUUACAGGCUGAAUUGUGUAUCCUCCCCUUAUUCAGUUUAUAUAUUCGAGUCCUAACCCCAGUACC
RNAcentral lists this long non-coding RNA (771 nucleotides) under Homo sapiens (human). RNAcentral's name for it is "non-protein coding lnc-SLCO3A1-4:1". The record is from RNAcentral. Lineage: Eukaryota; Metazoa; Chordata; Mammalia; Primates; Hominidae.